Molecule: ribosomal RNA, 427 nt
Filed under: uncultured bacterium
Lineage: Bacteria
Description: partial 16S ribosomal RNA
Rfam family: Bacterial small subunit ribosomal RNA
Source: RNAcentral
UGGGGAAUAUUGCACAAUGGGCGCAAGCCUGAUGCAGCCAUGCCGCGUGUAUGAAGAAGGCCUUCGGGUUGUAAAGUACUUUCAGCGGGGAGGAAGGUGUUGUGGUUAAUAACAGCAGCAAUUGACGUUACCCGCAGAAGAAGCACCGGCUAACUCCGUGCCAGCAGCCGCGGUAAUACGGAGGGUGCAAGCGUUAAUCGGAAUUACUGGGCGUAAAGCGCACGCAGGCGGUCUGUCAAGUCGGAUGUGAAAUCCCCGGGCUCAACCUGGGAACUGCAUUCGAAACUGGCAGGCUAGAGUCUUGUAGAGGGGGGUAGAAUUCCAGGUGUAGCGGUGAAAUGCGUAGAGAUCUGGAGGAAUACCGGUGGCGAAGGCGGCCCCCUGGACAAAGACUGACGCUCAGGUGCGAAAGCGUGGGGAGCAAACA